RNAcentral lists this small RNA (1125 nucleotides) under uncultured Bacillus sp. Its description in RNAcentral is "bacterial SSU rRNA". The stretch from base 1 to 470 matches the Rfam family "Bacterial small subunit ribosomal RNA", at positions 1064 to 1533 of the family's 1533-position model. Lineage: Bacteria; Bacillati; Bacillota; Bacilli; Caryophanales; Bacillaceae. The record is from RNAcentral.
GUCGUGAGAUGUUGGGUUAAGUCCCGCAACGAGCGCAACCCUUGAUCUUAGUUGCCAGCAUUCAGUUGGGCACUCUAAGGUGACUGCCGGUGAUAAACCGGAGGAAGGUGGGGAUGACGUCAAAUCAUCAUGCCCCUUAUGACCUGGGCUACACACGUGCUACAAUGGACGGUACAGAGGGUCGCAACCCCGCGAGGGUGAGCUAAUCCCAUAAAACCGGUCUAAGUUCAGAUUGCAGUCUGCAACUCGACUGCAUGAAGGAGGAAUCGCUAGUAAUCGCGCAUCAGCACGGCGCGGUGAAUACGUUCCCGGGCCUUGUACACACCGCCCGUCACACCACGAAAGCCGGUUGUACUCGAAGUCGCUGAGCCAACCCGCAAGGGAGGCAGGCGCCGAAGGUAUGGUCGGUGAUUGGGGUGAAGUCGUAACAAGGUAGCCGUACGGGAACGUGCGGCUGGAUCACCUCCUUUCUAAGGAGUACCAUCACGCUUCUAGGUCGAUUUACCCCAGGUCGGUAGCAACGGUAUUUUCUUCCUCUAAGCCGAGCCUGUGGGCACUGACCGGUGGCCAGAACCCCGGGGGAAGGUGUCAAGCCUUCCCCACUAUUUUUCUGGAGAUGGUUGGUCUGUAGGGGCCUUUAGCUCAGCUGGUCAGAGCGCACGCUUGAUAAGCGUGAGGUCCCUGGUUCGAUCCCAGGAAGGCCCACCACCCAGUUGUGGGAUUGACGAUUGUCAAUUGCUGAUUCCGAGAUCGGAAACCGGCAAUGACGCGGGGAUGUAGCUCAGAUGGGAGAGCACCUGCUUUGCAAGCAGGGGGUCAGCGGUUCGAUUCCGCUCAUCUCCACCAACUGACUAGCGGUGCUCGGGCUCCUGACUGUCAGUUCUUCACAGAUGUGGCAGGAACGCAUUCUUGUUUUGCGAUUUCGCGAGUACAACUCGCGUUGCUCUUUGACAAUUGAAUAGGUGAUCCGGGUCUCCACUAGAUUUAGACCUCGAGUGGCAAUGCGAUUUGGGGUCAAGCUACUAAGAGUGUACGGUGGAUGCCUUGGCAUCAGCAGGCGAUGAAGGGCGUGGUAAGCUGCGAUAAGCCUCGGGUAGUCGCAAACAGACGCCAAUCCGAGGAUGC